UGGAUUCGGUCUUUUUUAUUACUUCGACAUUAUCGACACACUUGUCGAGAAGUCGUGAAGUUUUUGGGGCCGUUACCGGGGACUGUUGAUAUGUCAGCAAGGCAAUGCUUGUGCAACGUUUAGUUUUGUUUUUUGUUUACUUUUAUUUUUGUUUUCAAUUAUAAAUAUUUUUUUUUGUAAUUAGUUAUUUUUAUUUCUUCUUAAAUUUUAUUUCCUAUUCUUUCUCUUUUUAGUUUUUUU
This 240-nucleotide long non-coding RNA is filed under the name Lathyrus oleraceus (garden pea). RNAcentral's name for it is "Pisum sativum (pea) long non-coding RNA (PSAT_LNC014789)". The record is from RNAcentral. Lineage: Eukaryota; Viridiplantae; Streptophyta; Magnoliopsida; Fabales; Fabaceae.